This 715-nucleotide ribosomal RNA is filed under the name Cellulomonas sp. V4.BO.29. RNAcentral describes it as "bacterial SSU rRNA". It matches the Rfam family "Bacterial small subunit ribosomal RNA", at positions 343 to 1071 of the family's 1533-position model. Lineage: Bacteria; Bacillati; Actinomycetota; Actinomycetes; Micrococcales; Cellulomonadaceae. The record is from RNAcentral.
GGGAGGCAGCAGUGGGGAAUAUUGCACAAUGGGCGCAAGCCUGAUGCAGCGACGCCGCGUGGGGGAUGAAGCCUUUCGGGUUGUAAACCCCUUUCAGCAGGGAAGAAGCGAAAGUGACGGUACCUGCAGAAGAAGCGCCGGCUAACUAAGUGCCAGCAGCCGCGGUAAUACGUAGGGCGCAAGCGUUGUCCGGAAUUAUUGGGCGUAAAGAGUUCGUAGGCGGUUUGUCGCGUCUGCUGUGAAAACCCGAGGCUCAACCUCGGGCCUGCAGUGGGUACGGGCAGACUAGAGUGCGGUAGGGGAGACUGGAAUUCCUGGUGUAGCGGUGGAAUGCGCAGAUAUCAGGAGGAACACCGAUGGCGAAGGCAGGUCUCUGGGCCGCAACUGACGCUGAGGAGCGAAAGCAUGGGGAGCGAACAGGAUUAGAUACCCUGGUAGUCCAUGCCGUAAACGUUGGGCACUAGGUGUGGGGCUCAUUCCACGAGUUCCGUGCCGCAGCAAACGCAUUAAGUGCCCCGCCUGGGGAGUACGGCCGCAAGGCUAAAACUCAAAGGAAUUGACGGGGGCCCGCACAAGCGGCGGAGCAUGCGGAUUAAUUCGAUGCAACGCGAAGAACCUUACCAAGGCUUGACAUAUACCGAAAACUCAUGGAGACAUGGGGUCCGCAAGGGCGGUAUACAGGUGGUGCAUGGUUGUCGUCAGCUCGUGUCGUGAG